GAUGAACGCUGGCGGCGUGCUUAACACAUGCAAGUCGAACGAUGAAGCCCAGCUUGCUGGGUGGAUUAGUGGCGAACGGGUGAGUAACACGUGAGUAACCUGCCCUUGACUCUGGGAUAAGCCCGGGAAACUGGGUCUAAUACCGGAUAGGAGCGCCUGUCGCAUGACGGGUGUUGGAAAGAUUUUUCGGUCAUGGAUGGACUCGCGGCCUAUCAGCUUGUUGGUGAGGUAAUGGCUCACCAAGGCGACGACGGGUAGCCGGCCUGAGAGGGUGACCGGCCACACUGGGACUGAGACACGGCCCAGACUCCUACGGGAGGCAGCAGUGGGGAAUAUUGCACAAUGGGCGGAAGCCUGAUGCAGCGACGCCGCGUGAGGGAUGACGGCCUUCGGGUUGUAAACCUCUUUCAGUAGGGAUGAAGCGAAAGGGACGUACCUGCAGAAG
Molecule: ribosomal RNA, 445 nt
Filed under: Micrococcus sp. oral taxon F54
Lineage: Bacteria; Bacillati; Actinomycetota; Actinomycetes; Micrococcales; Micrococcaceae
Description: bacterial SSU rRNA
Rfam family: Bacterial small subunit ribosomal RNA
Source: RNAcentral